ACUUUAUGUGGUCUGUUGCUUCCAUCAUUGCCUAAAUUCUAUACAUUCCAGUAAUGUCUACAGUUACAUUAUUUGAGAAUUUGGUAAUAUCUUGUUAUUUUUUAUUUUUAGGUGCUCUGUUCGUGUCUAUUUCCUGGGCCCCUUCCCCCUGAGGAACAUUAUUUCAUGCCACUAUGUUACUCUAUAUGGCUGGCCUGACAAUAAAGGUGCAAAACUUCACUGGAGCUCCAUAAGACAUGGUUAGAUUAAAGCAGGCAGGUUUCCAGUAAGAAUCACAGUGUGGGAAACCUACCUAUGCUUGACAAGGGAGGAUGUUGCAGCCAGAAAGGGACACUUCAUCACUCCUAUCUGCCCUGUCCCCUCAACCAGCUCAAACAGCUAAAAGUUAUGCAAAGCAGUUACCGGCUCCAACUUCAAGCUAAUUUCCUGCUACAUUGGCUGCAGAUUCUGGGUUAUCCAUCCGUCUACUGUGUCCUCCUCAAGGUUCAAAUCGCUCUGCGUAGCCUGGAGUCCUGGAUCAGCUUCCUUCACCUUUCCUUGUUUUUAUAUUGUCUUUCCAUUGUUAUUUAUACCUUCUUAUACUCCACUGGCACGCUGUUUUAUAGGGGUAACAGUGUGACCAUGUGUUUCAAAUGUUACUAUGUGCACUUAAACACAAAGCACCAGGAAUUGUUCCAGCCUUAAAUUAAAGAAACUGGAUACUUAACAUACCUGACCACAUAAAUAUUUACCACCCAAUAUCGCACAUUUGUAUUUCCAUUUACUGAUUUUUUUCACAUUCAUUUAACAUUCAGGUCAGUAAAUAAAGUGACAAGUGCUUCUAACUAAGGCCGUCAAAUCAGUGACAUAAUCACGUGAUAUACCUGGGGUCAGAGUUGAUUCAGGUCCAGAGAGUUAUAGUCCCAAACGUUUAGUCUCAACUUUUACUCUCUGGACCGGAAUUACCCAACUCUGCUUAUAGUAUACAUGUGCUUUUGGGUUCAUAUAUAACAUGUGAUUUAAAGACAGAUGUAUGAAAUACCCUAACACACAAAUGACUACACUGAUUGGCAACGACAAAGAAGUUAUGGAACUGGCUGUCGCUCAAUUUUUAUUGUGAAAACAGCAGUCAGUUGGACACAUUCAGAUUGCAUUUGGGAGCUUUGGACACUGCAGAACAUAUAUUAGCUUAAUGGCAAUUUGCUAAGUGCAGUCAAGCUCAGAGAUAAUUCAGGACGGCAGUAGCUUCCCAGCUUAGCUUUGCAGGUUGUCUACGAGGCUUCCGGAGGGCGUCUCACUGUGAAGGCCAAUCUGGAGGAGCUGAAGAUGAUUAAAAGACACCACACUGUUCACUAAUAGCAUUACUUCUUACUAUAUGUCAACAAACAGGUAACACGAUAGAUCGUCAUAGACAUUACAAUAUGCAUUCAUUAAUUGCAUUGUUGUUAAUGCUGGUUUCCAGCUGUUUGUUCACAAUAUAACUUUGUCAAUUUUUUUUACCAGUAAUUAAAAUAAUGUGUAAUUAAAAUAUUCAAUAUAAAAUAUUGCAAAUAAUAAAAGUCAGCCAAUGUAUUCCAUGUGGCUCUUUUAACCUGUUAAAAUAUUAAAAUAUUAAUAAUAA
Paramormyrops kingsleyae is the source of this 1600-nucleotide non-coding RNA. NCBI's taxonomy places the organism in Eukaryota, Metazoa, Chordata, Actinopteri, Osteoglossiformes, Mormyridae. The record is from RefSeq and is a predicted model, not a curated record.